Molecule: ribosomal RNA, 465 nt
Filed under: uncultured bacterium
Lineage: Bacteria
Description: partial 16S ribosomal RNA
Rfam family: Bacterial small subunit ribosomal RNA
Source: RNAcentral
CCUACGGGAGGCAGCAGUGGGGAAUAUUGCGCAAUGGGCGAAAGCCUGACGCAGCGACGCCGCGUGAGGGAUGAAGGUCUUCGGAUCGUAAACCUCUGUCAGCAUGGAAGAACGGUCACUGUGCUAAUCAGCAGUGAAUUGACGGUACCUGCAAAGGAAGCACCGGCUAACUCCGUGCCAGCAGCCGCGGUAAUACGGAGGGUGCGAGCGUUAAUCGGAAUUACUGGGCGUAAAGCGCUCGUAGGCGGUAUGUCAAGUCAAGGGUGAAAUCCCCGCGCUCAACGUGGGAACUGCCUUUGAAACUGGCAAACUGGAGUGUGUGAGAGGAUAGUGGAAUUCCAGGUGUAGGAGUGAAAGCCGUAGAUAUCUGGAGGAACAUCAGUGGCGAAGGCGACUAUCUGGCACAUAACUGACGCUGAGGAGCGAAAGCGUGGGUAGCAAACAGGAUUAGAUACCCCGGUAGUC